Non-coding RNA from Ictidomys tridecemlineatus (thirteen-lined ground squirrel), 508 nucleotides. The record is from RefSeq and is a predicted model, not a curated record. NCBI's taxonomy places the organism in Eukaryota, Metazoa, Chordata, Mammalia, Rodentia, Sciuridae.
GUUCAUCGCCCGGUGACAAAGCGCAGUUCUUCUGUGUGAUGAUUUGUACCAGACAAGUAACGACCUGAUUCACGAUGGGAGUUGGUAAAUGAUAGGAAUUCGGGAACUCCUUGCUCCAUUCCCCGCCUGAAGUAAAAGAAUGAGGCGCGAUUAUACUCAUUGUAAAUGAAGAUGUCAGGAGAGCGUGGAGCUUUAGGACUACACCAAGUACCUCUGUUUUCAAAAAAGAUGAGCAUCAGAGAAUCUCAAGAACUUUGACCAAGAUCAAUCAACUCUCAGAAACUCCUGAUACAAAGGAGGUUACAAAGCCAGAAUGGGGUGCAUGAAACUGGGGAAUGGCUCCAUAUCUCUAGAGGUGAAGAUUUCAGUCAUAUGGGAUUGAGGUCCACCUAAUCAAGUAUGAACUCACCUUAACUUGACUGCAUCUACAGAAGCCUCAUUUCCCGCAAGGUCACAUUUUAGACACUAAGGACAAGAUUUCAAUGUAUGGGUAUAGCAUAUGGGGGUG